This is a small nuclear RNA of Saimiri boliviensis boliviensis (Bolivian squirrel monkey), 164 nucleotides long. Its record names the gene U1. It matches the Rfam family "U1 spliceosomal RNA". From Rfam's summary of the family: U1 is a small nuclear RNA (snRNA) component of the spliceosome (involved in pre-mRNA splicing). Its 5' end forms complementary base pairs with the 5' splice junction, thus defining the 5' donor site of an intron. The record is from Ensembl. Lineage: Eukaryota; Metazoa; Chordata; Mammalia; Primates; Cebidae.
AUACUUACCUGGCAGGGGAAAUACCAUGAUCACGAAGGUGGUUUUCCCAGGGCGAGGCUUAUCCAUUGCACUCUGGAUGUGCUGACCCCUGCAAUUUCCCCAAAUGUGGGAAACUCGACUGCAUAAUUUGUGGUAGUGGGGGAGUGCAUUCGCCCUUUCCCCUG